UCACAUUUUGAGUGGCUCCCAUGUGCACAAGCACGUAGUAAAUUUGUGUGCUCUCUUCCUGUUAAUCCACCUACUGUCCAUUUAUUCAACAGACUGAGCCAUUGAAUCUGCAGAGGGCAGAGGGCAAGUUCCUUUUUUCCUCAAUCAUGGUUUGAGAAAAGACUGUCCCGGCCAAGACACAGCUGGUUCAUGUAUCCCAGAAGGAAGAGCUGUGCUCCGGAGGCAAAAUGAAAAACUCCUGCGUGGAGAGUGGAGGAAUCUCUCUAGACCACUCAAGCCCGGUGAGGCUACAGUAGAGGGAACAGCGAGGGGCAACCUGCCUGCUGCAAGGCCCCCAGGAAGUUUUAAAGUCCCAGUUAUCCUGGCAGAGGAGAAAGCAUAUAUUCCCAACACAAUCACACAUCUCCAGCAGGAAGAAAAGGGCUGCUACAAGCACAUUCCUCAGCAGGACAGUGGGGCUCUGGGCUGGGGAUUUAGCUCAGUGACGCUGCACCUUCCUUGAAAGCGCAGGGUCCUGGGUUUGACCCCUGGUACCAAAAAAUAAAAUAAAAAUAAUAAUUAGUGGAG
Molecule: long non-coding RNA, 567 nt
Filed under: Fukomys damarensis (Damara mole-rat)
Lineage: Eukaryota; Metazoa; Chordata; Mammalia; Rodentia; Bathyergidae
Description: lncRNA (ENSFDAG00000033624.1)
Source: RNAcentral